This is a long non-coding RNA of Misgurnus anguillicaudatus (oriental weatherfish), 569 nucleotides long. RefSeq lists it as uncharacterized. NCBI's taxonomy places the organism in Eukaryota, Metazoa, Chordata, Actinopteri, Cypriniformes, Cobitidae. The record is from RefSeq and is a predicted model, not a curated record.
ACGUCACGUACUUAGGGGAAAGUCACGCUGGAGGGCAAGAGCUAUCGGCCGUUGUAUGCAGGUUGAGCGAGUAAUUUAUUUUGUUUAGCUUAAAUACUAAAUAGUUGUUGUGAAAUAAAAUGAACGUAUCGAAGAGACAAGCCUGAGCUAUGCUUCUACAGAAUAUAGUCGGAGAAGAAAUCACAGAAAGGAGCAAUUUGUGAAUUUUGUGCGAUAAAUGUAUGUGCAUCUGUCCCCAGCUGAGGGAAACAAUGACAGCCGUACAUAUUUACAGUGAUUGCUUCAUCAAAGGAUAUUUUCAUGCGGGUGCAUGGUGGAAGACAAACAUUCUGGAUUCGGAUGGAGGUUGUGCAAAAGAGUUGAAGGAAAGGGAUUGAAACACAUCCACCCACACCAAAGGGAGCAGGCAAAUGAGAUGUCUAUGUGACCUGCUUGGAUUUCACAGAGUUAAGGCUAAUUAAUGGACACCCCAUGGGCUGCCGUUUCCUUGAAGCUAUGAUCAGUGAGUUUAUUAUAUCAUCUGCAGUACAUCACACUGUGACUAAUGCCCAAUGCCUUGCAAACGGCUG